Molecule: ribosomal RNA, 484 nt
Filed under: uncultured bacterium
Lineage: Bacteria
Description: partial 16S ribosomal RNA
Rfam family: Bacterial small subunit ribosomal RNA
Source: RNAcentral
AUUGAACGCUGGCGGCAGGCCUAACACAUGCAAGUCGAGCGGAUGAGGGGAGCUUGCUCCCUGAUUUAGCGGCGGACGGGUGAGUAAUGCCUAGGAAUCUGCCUGGUAGUGGGGGAUAACGUUCCGAAAGGAACGCUAAUACCGCAUACGUCCUACGGGAGAAAGCAGGGGACCUUCGGGCCUUGCGCUAUCAGAUGAGCCUAGGUCGGAUUAGCUAGUUGGUGAGGUAAUGGCUCACCAAGGCGACGAUCCGUAACCGGUCUGAGAGGAUGAUCAGUCACACUGGAACUGAGACACGGUCCAGACUCCUACGGGAGGCAGCAGUGGGGAAUAUUGGACAAUGGGCGAAAGCCUGAUCCAGCCAUGCCGCGUGUGUGAAGAAGGUCUUCGGAUUGUAAAGCACUUUAAGUUGGGAGGAAGGGCUGCUGGUUAAUACCCUGCAGUUUUGACGUUACCAACAGAAUAAGCACCGGCUAACUUCGUG